This 391-nucleotide unclassified non-coding RNA is filed under the name soil metagenome. Its description in RNAcentral is "partial contains 5.8S ribosomal RNA, internal transcribed spacer 2, and large subunit ribosomal RNA". The stretch from base 1 to 122 matches the Rfam family "5.8S ribosomal RNA", at positions 35 to 154 of the family's 154-position model. The record is from RNAcentral.
GAUGAAGAACGUAGCGAAAUGCGAUAAGUAAUGUGAAUUGCAGAAUCCCGUGAACCAUCGAGUCUUUGAACGCAAGUUGCGCCCGAAGCCAUUAGGCCGAGGGCACGCCUGCCUGGGCGUCACACGUCGUUGCCCCCCCAUCUACUCCUUCGGGAUUGCGGGGGGCGGAUGAUGGCCUCCCGUGCGCCUCGUCGCGCGGUUGGCAUAAAUGCCAAGUCCUCGGCGACGCACGCCACGACAAUCGGUGGUUGCGAAACCUCGGUUGCCCGUCGUGUGCGGUCGUCGCGCAUCGAGGGCUCGAAAAAAUUGCCGGGCUCCGGCUCGGCUUUCAACGCGACCCCAGGUCAGGCGGGGUUACCCGCUGAAUUUAAGCAUAUCAAUAAGCGGAGGA